This 463-nucleotide ribosomal RNA is filed under the name uncultured Acidobacteriaceae bacterium. Its description in RNAcentral is "bacterial SSU rRNA". It matches the Rfam family "Bacterial small subunit ribosomal RNA", at positions 8 to 487 of the family's 1533-position model. Lineage: Bacteria; Pseudomonadati; Acidobacteriota; Terriglobia; Terriglobales; Acidobacteriaceae. The record is from RNAcentral.
AGAGUUUGAUCCUGGCUCAGAAUCAACGCUGGCGGCGUGCCUAACACAUGCAAGUCGAACGCGAAAGCCCGCAAGGGUAAGUAGAGUGGCGCACGGGUGAGUAACACGUGGACAACCUGCCUUCGAGUGGGGAAUAACCUUCCGAAAGGAGGGCUAAUACCGCAUAACACCUCGGAACACAAGUUCUGGGGUUGAAAAGAGCAAUUUGCUCGAAGAGGGGUCCGCGCCUGAUUAGCUAGUUGGUGAGGUAACGGCUCACCAAGGCUUCGAUCAGUAGCCGUCCUGAGAGGGAGCACGGCCACACUGGAACUGAGACACGGUCCAGACUCCUACGGGAGGCAGCAGUGGGGAAUUUUUGGCAAUGGGCGAAAGCCUGACCAAGCAACGCCGCGUGGGUGAUGAAGUAUCUUGGUACGUAAAACCCUUUCGGCAGGGACGAACCUAAUGACGGUACCUGCGAGAG